Molecule: long non-coding RNA, 2522 nt
Organism: Pogona vitticeps (central bearded dragon)
Lineage: Eukaryota; Metazoa; Chordata; Lepidosauria; Squamata; Agamidae
Source: Ensembl
GCAAUGCUUUCUGGGACUGGUAGUCUCAUUAGAAGCUAAGCAGAGGUGAGACUACCACUCCCAGAAUGCAUUGCUGCAGGAAUUGAGGCUUCAGUACCAUUCAGUCUUGAUCCAGGUGAGCAAAAUAUAGGUGUUGGCAAGUAUGGUUCUGUGCUCUGGAGCUCCCAGAAUUCAGGGGAAUUUUUGGGAAACUCUUCGUAUUGCAGUCAAAAUGAAACAACAGCACCAGAAACAACAACGGGAAAUCUCUAGUGUGGGCUUUACCAUCCUUGUUGGCCACCGGGGGGCACAACUUCUCCAUUCUAAGAGAGCAGCCUCCACUGUGUGUUGCUGCUACCUACGCUUCUGCAGCCUGGAUUUCGGAAGACACUUGGGAGGGGAAAGCAAAAAGAGAGGAAAACUCCUGGCGUGGAAGAGGGGAAACUCCUUUGCUGAAUGGUUUCUCCAUAUCCAGAGUGGGAAGAGCAGAAAAAGCUUGACACUCUGAGCUCUUUUGGGUGACUCAUCCUGGAGUGUCCUUUGGGCAGCAGUAGAUUUGGACACAUUUAUGUUUGAAGAAACAGCUGUGUGUUAUGUGGGUGUCAGAGGAAAAUACAUUCACACACGUGCACACGCGUGCGCGCACACACACACACAUCACGUGCACACGCACACACACACACUUAAGUAUCAGAUAAAACCCACUGCAAAGGUAAGUAUGAAAAUGCUCCAGAGAUCAAAGGACUAGAAAAGGACUAAUUACACAUUAAAAAAAACACAACAGAUUUUAUUUGCACCUGAGGCAUUGUUUCUUCUGGUACGAAAACUGUUCCUGGUAUAAUCUCUGUUUCUAGUAUUUGUGUUCCUGCAAAACCCAGUAUACCCUGUUUGACCAGAAGACCAGAGAGGAGAACAAAAGAAAUUUGUGCAGAGUUAUGCCACCUUCAGCUAGAAUGACUGUCUGUCUCCAGUCUACAAGGAGUGCCAUGUUGGUUCUGCCAAGUGGCUGUUUCCCUAAAGGAUGUGUCUGCCAUACUGUAUUUUGUUAUAGGUGAUUCUCAGUUUAUUCUGAAUUUUGCAUACACUGAGUGAAGGCUCUAGUGAAUCAUUGUGUCUCCCUGCAUUAUAAUACCAAUAUAAUGCCCAUCUUCCAAGUUGCUUUUAGGGCCAGACCUAUCAUUAGAGAGAAUGAAGUAGCUAUCUCACACAACAUAACUUUUGUUCCUUCAGUAAAGUUAUGGCCUGUUUAAUCUCACUUAUGACUGUUUGAUCCUCCUACGACAAUGCAAAUGUAAUACAAUGUUCAUCUAACCAGUAAUUUGUGAUUCAGCCUCAGGGUGAGAGAACAAAAGGGAAAAGGAAGGCAUUUAGUUGGGUAAUUCAGUUACAGAAUAUCUUAGAGGAAAAAAAGGGAAAGUAGAAGAAGAUGAGGGGGAAAUUACUGAAGAGCGUGGGUAAGUGUAUUCCGUGGGUGGUAAGUUUUUUUUUUCAUUCUCUAAAAAGGCAGAAAAGGAAACAAAGAUGAAGUAGAGGAAAAAAUGAAAUGUGAAACUGGUACAAAUGUAAAUGAGACGUAACCAAUAUAUGCUCUGACAUAGCAGUGACUAAGUGUGUGUUCCCUUUGACCUACUUAACAGGGCCCCCCAAAAAUGCAGCAGGCAACUUUUUUGUUAUCCAAAAGUUUCUGACUUAUAAAAUAAGACUUUUUAAAAAAAUAGAAAACUUGAAAAUUGGGUCUUUGGUCACAGCUCAGCAUUUCUGAAGUCCAGAUCAGAUCUCUCACAGAUCAAACUACAUUGCAGAAUGACUAAUGGUAGGAUGACUAAUUCCCAUCUUCCCUCCAAAACUCCAUUUUAUAGUGGCCCAGAAAACAGAAUUGUCAAGAUGCUGUUAUCUCAUCCUUGGUUCUGCCAUUAAAACUUUGCUGUGCUUUAAAAGCUUCAUAUGGGAUUGCCUGCAUACCGCCAAAUAAGGGCAAUCCAUUAGGCUCCCGGAUAUAAUGAAUUUGUUUUAUAAAAUAGCAGGUCUGAGCUGGGACUGGAUGACAGCAGGGGUAAAAUAACAUACUGUUUCAGAAGAUGGUUGGUUUAGAACAACAUUCGACAAACAGACCAGUGAGUGAAAUCCAGAGAGAGACUAUUUAUUAUAUAUAUAUAUACAUCCUAAUAUUAGAUACAGUGGGGUGGGGUACUUUGGGUCCUCUCACUGUUUGGGAUCAGAAUUCCCAUAGUCCAGACAUGGUGCCUGAGUCGUAAGUCAAGGCCCCAUUCGCAAGUCGAAGCAACAUUUUGCGAACGGAUCCGUUUAUAACUUGAAACGUUUGCUAGUUGAGACGUUUGUAAGUCGAGGUACCACUGUAUUUCCUACAGUGAACCCAUUUUCCCUUCCACAAUGUGAUUUCUUUAGAGACACACACCUCAACAAGACCUGUGGGUAAGGAAAAUUAUGACAGACUUUGUUUCACCAUUUGGGGAAGAACUCUGGGAAAUAAUAAUAUGUAUUUUUCAAAAUGUAAUAAAUUUAUCCAUCUGGUUUGAUCCCCA